This 1425-nucleotide long non-coding RNA is filed under the name Nicotiana tabacum (common tobacco). Its description in RNAcentral is "long non-coding RNA (NTAB_LNC015260)". The record is from RNAcentral. Lineage: Eukaryota; Viridiplantae; Streptophyta; Magnoliopsida; Solanales; Solanaceae.
GGCGGAAAACAUUGUUCUUCUUCUCCAAAGCUGAAUCCAUUCCCAAAACUCGCCAAAUUUCAGGCGAGUGAAACCCAAACUCGCACCUCGCGUUUUCCCCUUUCUCCUCCUACCAUAUUACAACUGUUUCCGACAGAUUCCCUUUCCCUCACAUGCUUCUUCGAUUUAUCUAGGAUUUUUUCACCCUUCAGAUGAAAAUAAGGAAAAAUAGGGAGCGUUAGAUUGGAUUUGAGCUAAUCUACUCCCUCCAUUUAUCCCUCUUUCAUUAGAAACGGGGUAAAAAAUCAGUUUGGGAGAGGAUUUUUUGUUUUGGGAAUUUUCUUGAAGAGGAAGGAAGAAGAUUCGAGAAGAUACGAAAGUCUAUAUAAGGUGAAGACCUUUUCUUGUGUAGGGGGAUUGUUUUUUUGGGGAAAGAAUUGGUCAGAGAGAAUUUUCGAGAGAAAGUUUGAUAAAUAUUAAGGUUCUUCUUAAUCUUCUUUCACAUUCUUUUUCCUUCCAGAAAACGCAAAACAAAAAAAUGAUUCUGUUUUGUUUUUGAUUAAUUGGUAACGUGAGAUUUUAGGUUGGUUUAAGUGACAAUUACAAAAAAAAAACCGUUUCUUCAUUUUUUAUUUUGGUUCUGGUGGUCAAAAUCAUGGGAGUUGAUUGAGGUGCUCAAGUUCGAGUUUCGUCGUCGAGUUCAUUUUGAUUGAAGUUGUGGUUUCUCUAUUAUCUGUUGGUGUAACUGCUGAAAUCUCCUUGUCAUUAGGAUUUGUUUCUUCAGGUUCAUCCCUUCCCUCUUCUAUUUACUUGUUGUUUAUGGUGAAUAGAAACCUUGAAAAAGCCAUUUAAAGUGAGGUUAUUGUUACACUUAGUUGCUUAACCUGAUGGGCCAGUCCAUGAGAUUUUUAAGACAAUGGAAAAUCAGUUUUAACUUGAUCUUGUCAUGGUGUGGUUCAUUUUAAUUUGUUACGCGUUCGUAAAUCUGAGGCUAUAAGUUCGUUUCAGAUUGUUUAGCCUCUACUGAUUUGUCUAUGAGUUCUUUGUUGUUUGCUGGUAAUCGUUUUCAGACUUUUAUGCACAUUAGAAGAUUCAAAUGAUCCUUUCUGCAUUGGAUUGUUUUCGUUGGCUAUUAGGCUUGGAUUGACGCAAAUAAUUUUGUUGGCAGUAGUUGAUUUUUUCAUUGGAUAUUAAGUUUGGAUGAUUUGUUUUUAGUGUAAUGGGCAGUAAGGAGAUUCACAACUCCAUCUCCAUAUCUUCAUGACUUUGUUUCACCUCUGAGAAUAACUACACUACUAUACUUCAUAAAACAAUUUGUCAGAUUGCGUUAUUCGUAUUUUUCAAGAGCACAAAGGGCGAGUAAGGGUAUUGCCAAUUAUUUUGGACUCCUGUUUCCAAAUUCUCUCUGCUUUCGAUAAUCCUGGUAUGACAUUCUAUCUAUUUCUG